Molecule: ribosomal RNA, 492 nt
Filed under: uncultured bacterium
Lineage: Bacteria
Description: partial 16S ribosomal RNA
Rfam family: Bacterial small subunit ribosomal RNA
Source: RNAcentral
AGUGAACGCUGGCGGUAGGCCUAACACAUGCAAGUCGAACGGCAGCACAGUAAGAGCUUGCUCUUACGGGUGGCGAGUGGCGGACGGGUGAGGAAUACAUCGGAAUCUACUUUUUCGUGGGGGAUAACGUAGGGAAACUUACGCUAAUACCGCAUACGACCUACGGGUGAAAGCAGGGGAUCUUCGGACCUUGCGCGAUUGAAUGAGCCGAUGUCGGAUUAGCUAGUUGGCGGGGUAAAGGCCCACCAAGGCGCCGAUCCGUAGCUGGUCUGAGAGGAUGAUCAGCCACACUGGAACUGAGACACGGUCCAUACUCCUACGGGAGGCAGCAGUGGGGAAUAUUGGACAAUGGGCGCAAACCUUAUCCAGCCAUACCGCGUGGGUGAAGAAGGCCUUCGGGUUGUAAAGCCCUUUUGUUGGGAAAGAAAAGCAGCAGGUUAAUACCCCGCUGUUCUGACGGUACCCAAAGAAUAAGCACCGGCUAACUUCGUG